This is a long non-coding RNA of Erigeron canadensis, 685 nucleotides long. RefSeq lists it as uncharacterized. Lineage: Eukaryota; Viridiplantae; Streptophyta; Magnoliopsida; Asterales; Asteraceae. The transcript is spliced from 2 exons. The record is from RefSeq and is a predicted model, not a curated record.
UUUAUAUAAAAUCUUUAAAGUUUCUUUACAUCAAAAUCUCUUAAAACUCUUGAACCAAACAACCUCAAAAUAUCCCAAUCUUCCUUUGGACCGCUAGUAAGCAACAACUUUAGAACCAAAGAAUUAUUAUUAUUAUUUUUUUCCUUGGCACCAAAGAAUUAUUUUAUUAUUUAUAUAUAUAAAAAAAGUUGCUUCAAAACACUACAAAUAGACCAGUAGAUCGACCACAAGGACCAAACCCAAAGGGCAACCCUCUUUGUAAAUGUUUGUCUUUCAUUUUUGUUUGUGUGUGUGUUUUUACUUUUUGCGCUUAGCAAAGUUUUGCACAUGUUUUCUUACCGUACAUUUCUGCAACAAGGUUGACAGAAGGCCAGAGACAUAUCUAUAGAUCGUUCACCAAUAUCCAUAGAGGUACCUAACUUCACGCGACAACCUUGCCUAUGUAGAUAGUCAGACAUGGAGUGGCAGUCAUAACCAAAAAAAUAAAGAAAUGCUCUAUACAAUGGUUGUAUUCACCCUCAGUUAAAGUUGUAGGUAGAGAUCAAUACAUAGAGAGGUAUACCCAUAACGUUGGCACGAAACAGAAUUGGGUCGUUGAUAUGAGUCUCUAGCUACUUUUCCAAGAGAGGGUGAAUGCGGUUAUUGUAUAAAGUAUUUCUUGUUUUUAUUAUGACUGUCAAUCCAA